UCAGGCCUAACACAUGCAAGUCGUACGAGAGUUUUUAACUCUGGUGGCGGACGGGUGAGUAACACGUGAGAAUUUGCCUUUAGGAGGGGGACAACAAUUGGAAACGAAUGCUAAUACCCCAUAUGCUUUCGAGUGAAAUGGAUUUUAUCCGCCUAGAGAGAAGCUCGCGGCUGAUUAGCUUGUUGGUAAGGUAAGAGCUUACCAAGGCGACGAUCAGUAUCUGGUUUGAGAGGACGAUCAGACACACUGGAACUGAGACACGGUCCAGACUCCUACGGGAGGCAGCAGUGGGGAAUUUUCCGCAAAGGGCGAAAGCCUGACGGAGCAAUACCGCGUGA
Molecule: ribosomal RNA, 338 nt
Filed under: uncultured bacterium
Lineage: Bacteria
Description: bacterial SSU rRNA
Rfam family: Bacterial small subunit ribosomal RNA
Source: RNAcentral